UGAGGUAGCAAUACGAUGACGGCCAUGG
Molecule: non-coding RNA, 28 nt
Filed under: Mus musculus (house mouse)
Lineage: Eukaryota; Metazoa; Chordata; Mammalia; Rodentia; Muridae
Source: RNAcentral